Long non-coding RNA from Hordeum vulgare subsp. vulgare (domesticated barley), 2200 nucleotides. RefSeq lists it as uncharacterized. The record is from RefSeq and is a predicted model, not a curated record. The transcript is spliced from 2 exons. Lineage: Eukaryota; Viridiplantae; Streptophyta; Magnoliopsida; Poales; Poaceae.
CUCUGGUCAUUAUUUUGGAUUGUGAAGCAACUACAUUUUAUGUUGCUCCAUAAAUUCUGAAAUUUUAUGAGGACAUUCUCCUACCUACAAAACAUCUCUCAACCAAUUUUGAGCUCAUUUUAUUUAGCCAGUUAUUCCCAGUAAUUCUCCUAAGAUUCUGUCCAGCACGAUGCUGUGUGAAGGAAGUAUCACUUUGGUUUAUCCAGAUGAUAUGAAAUUUAAACAGCAUCUUCAUAACCCUAAAUUAUUUAUCUCCUACAAGUUUCAGAUCCAUCCAAGCAAGUAUGUGAGUGCCACUUCAUACUUUGCAAUUCUGUCCAGAAGAGCCCUUUGUACUGCAAGUGCUAUUUAUAUUCUUUCAAAUGAGCUGGAAAUUUGCAGAAAUGAUCAUCCUGGCAUCUGAUCAUCCUCAGCCAAAAACCACAGCCUUUCCUUACGUUGAUCUCCCCCGCCCCACUCCAAACAGCUUGUUGUUAAAUCAUGUUUGAGCACCUUUCUUCCUCCCCACAGCCCUCUAGUUGAUUCUACCCUCGCCUCUUAUCCAUCUGAGCAGUGGUAGGUUUGUUUGACAUGGAGUGAGGAGCAGUGGCACACCAGAGCACGUAGUGCACGUGGUGAUCAUGCUGAGAGCAAGCCAAAAUGGCGCUCUAUGCAUUGACGGCGACGGGAGCACCUCUCCAGCAAGCUCCGGCUUGUCCGCGAGCGUUAGAGAGCUCCCCACCGCACACGUGUGCCCUCCGGAGUCUUCUCCCCCUCGUCGCCUAGCCUGUGGUCGGCCCCGACGCCCUGUUGCAACGCGGUAACUGAGUCGCCGUCUCGGAGCUUCGGCUACCGUCGCGAAGAGCUUCCCCGGGCCUAUAUAAGGUGUGCCCCAAGAUCUCCUCCGACCUACGACCUCCCAACCCUCUUCCUCGAGCUCCGGGAGCUCUUCUGUUCCACACACGGACAUCCUAUGCCACCGUCGAUCUCGCCUUGAUACCGGCAGCCAGAGGCUCCUCUCCACUCCCUAGCCCCUCCAUCUCUUUCCCUGGAUGUCGGUGAGCCUUUUCCCCUUUUUAGCUCGCCGUCGGAGCGUCCCUAGCGCCAGGAGCCACCGGAGACACCGACAGUCACGACCGACCCGCAGCUUCCCCGCCACCUUGGCCAGCUCAUCCCUCCCGCCUCAGGCGUUCCCGGGACGCAGCGCUUUCCGGAAUGCACUCCCGACCGCUCGCCGGUCGGAGUAGCUCGCCGGAGCAGCGGCCCCCUCACCGGCCGAGCCCUGCCUGGCCUCCUCUAUUUCUCCUGUCGGGAGGAGGAAGGAGAUAAGGAGGGAGGAAAGAGACACGGGAAAGGGUCAACGCGGGCCCCACCUGUAAGUGACCAGAAACCGGCCCCGCCACUGCCCACGUUGAUAAGUGGAGGCGCCCGGCUCUAAAUAUGUUCCCCCUCUGGGAAACGUAUUCCACCAAAGACGCUUCCUGUUUUUCAGCCAAAGACCUGUCUGUGAAUAAACGUUUUACAGAUUAGUCCCUAGACUUCAAAUGUCCAUAUCUCCGCGAUCCUAACUCCGAUUCCAGUGAUUCCAAAGCCCAUGUCUUCGUCUCGCCGAGCCCGUCAUGAUAGUAACAUUUUCACUAUGUGUCCACACAGUGGAAAUGAUCAUGCUGCUCUUGCCCAUAAACAGCUCCUCUGAGGGAGAACUGUUUCCGGCAAUUCCUUCCGCGAGCUUCUCGCAUUUCUUCCCGGUGGAUCCCUCAUCCCAGGCAAGCCACAACUCUCAUUUGCUUAAUUUCAUUGCAAUAUCAUAGUUUAAUUAACUAUUUUAAUCACAAGUACAUCUAUUUAUAAGAAGUCGAAGAAAGAAGAUGGCGUCUCCCUCCCACCUCCCAGGGCGGCGACCCAAUGGCGAUCUGGAACUCUAGCCGGCACCUCCUCCAUCCUCGCCACCCCUCUGCUCAGUUUGCAGGUCAUGCCAUGAUUGCUUGUUUGUCGAGGCUUCUGAGUUGCGUGCUAGGAUGCGCGUUCCAGCCAGAGUCCGUGCGGAGUGCAGUUCAUCACAUCCGUUGUUGUUCCGCUGCUAGUGUAGGAUUUACCGUAGGCAAGUGUAGUAUCGCCAAGGUGGUGUAAUCCAUGUACCCUUGUAAUAUUUUCCAUAUUAACAAAGAGCUAGUUUGUUCUAUGCCAACGGUGCCGUAUUAUAGAAGACUUGUCCUUGGGA